AGGCAGUAUUUUAACAGGAUGGUGUGUUUCAGAAAGGGAUGGUGAAGAAGAGCUGAGUGCGGCGCAGAGCGGCCAUUUCCUGCUGAGGAUCAGUUGUGGGAUCGUCUGUGAACUCCAGCGUCCUGCUGGAUCUACAAGUUGACCUCACCAGUUCACCCAUCUCUCUGGUUGUGAAGAGGAGCGGUCUCCAUUAGAAGAAAUGGAGCAUCGAGGCAAAACGCUGGAGGCUUAUUUCAACCCCAAAGUCCUGCUGCAUAGAUUAGGUCUGUAUGUUUUCUUAUCAGUAAUGGUUUAGGAGCAGCUUUAUGAGGUUUAUCUUCUUAA
Poecilia latipinna (sailfin molly) is the source of this 324-nucleotide long non-coding RNA. RefSeq lists it as uncharacterized. The record is from RefSeq and is a predicted model, not a curated record. Lineage: Eukaryota; Metazoa; Chordata; Actinopteri; Cyprinodontiformes; Poeciliidae. The transcript has 2 exons.